Molecule: ribosomal RNA, 253 nt
Filed under: uncultured bacterium
Lineage: Bacteria
Description: partial 16S ribosomal RNA
Rfam family: Bacterial small subunit ribosomal RNA
Source: RNAcentral
UACGUAGGAGGCAAGCGUUGUUCGGAAUUACUGGGCGUAAAGGGCUCGUAGGCGGCCAACUAAGUCGGACGUGAAAUCCCUCAGCUUAACUGGGGAACUGCGUCCGAUACUGGAUGGCUUGGAUUCGGGAGAGGAAUGCGGAAUUCCAGGUGUAGCGGUGAAAUGCGCAGAUAUCAGGAGGAACACCGGUGGCGAAGGCGGGUCUCUGGGCCGAUACUGACGCUGAGGAGCGAAAGCAUGGGGAGCGAACAGG